AGCGGCUUUGAAUAAAGACUGAAGAACACGAACCCAUGCAAGAGGCACAAAACCAUCUGCUUAGUGGUCAUGUGGCAGCAGACAGUAUCUCAGAAGUCCUCGCAGCAUAUGACUUCACUGAUGAAGAUGGAUCACACUUGAGCAGGGAUUCUUGAUCUCUGCAAAACAGCUCAUACACAACAGGAACAAUCUCACAGAUAAGAAAAACUCCAGAAGUUGGUCUCGGGCUAUGAAAAUUUCUGCCACAAUAUGAUUUAUAUGAAAAUAAAUAAAGUGGGUCUACUACUUUA
RNAcentral lists this long non-coding RNA (290 nucleotides) under Homo sapiens (human). Its description in RNAcentral is "KCNMA1 antisense RNA 2". Lineage: Eukaryota; Metazoa; Chordata; Mammalia; Primates; Hominidae. The record is from RNAcentral.